CCUACGGGGCGCAGCAGUGGGGAAUAUUGGACAAUGGGCGAAAGCCUGAUCCAGCCCUGCCGCGUGUGUGAAGAAGGCCUUCGGGUUGUAAAGCACUUUCAGUGGGGAAGAAAGCCUUGGGGCUAAUACCCUCGAGGAAGGACAUCACCCACAGAAGAAGCACCGGCUAACUCCGUGCCAGCAGCCGCGGUAAUACGGAGGGUGCGAGCGUUAAUCAGAAUUACUGGGCGUAAAGCGCGCGUAGGCGGUCUGAUAAGCCGGUUGUGAAAGCCCCGGGCUCAACCUGGGAACGGCAUCCGGAACGGUCAGGCUAGAGUGCAGGAGAGGAAGGUAGAAUUCCCGGUGUAGCGGUGAAAUGCGUAGAGAUCGGGAGGAAUACCAGUGGCGAAGGCGGCCUUCUGGACUGACACUGACGCUGAGGUGCGAAAGCGUGGGUAGCAAACAGGAUUAGAUACCCCAGUAGUC
Molecule: ribosomal RNA, 465 nt
Filed under: Vreelandella stevensii
Lineage: Bacteria; Pseudomonadati; Pseudomonadota; Gammaproteobacteria; Oceanospirillales; Halomonadaceae
Description: partial 16S ribosomal RNA
Rfam family: Bacterial small subunit ribosomal RNA
Source: RNAcentral